CAGCUUGUUGGUGAGGUAACGGCUCACCAAGGCUUCGACGGGUAGCCGGCCUGAGAGGGUGACCGGCCACACUGGGACUGAGACACGGCCCAGACUCCUACGGGAGGCAGCAGUGGGGAAUAUUGGACAAUGGGCGAAAGCCUGAUCCAGCAACGCCGCGUGAGGGAUGACGGCCUUCGGGUUGUAAACCUCUUUCAGUACCGACGAAGCGCCAAUAACGGUGGUGACGGUAGGUACAGAAGAAGGACCGGCCAACUACGUGCCAGCAGCCGCGGUAAUACGUAUGGUCCGAGCGUUGUCCGGAAUUAUUGGGCGUAAAGGGCUCGUAGGCGGUCUGUUGCGUCGGGAGUGAAAACUUACAGCUUAACUGUGAGCGUGCUUCCGAAUCGG
This 390-nucleotide ribosomal RNA is filed under the name uncultured Actinomycetes bacterium. RNAcentral describes it as "SSU rRNA". It matches the Rfam family "Bacterial small subunit ribosomal RNA", at positions 242 to 635 of the family's 1533-position model. Lineage: Bacteria; Bacillati; Actinomycetota; Actinomycetes. The record is from RNAcentral.